Molecule: small RNA, 1905 nt
Filed under: Pan troglodytes (chimpanzee)
Lineage: Eukaryota; Metazoa; Chordata; Mammalia; Primates; Hominidae
Description: retained intron
Source: RNAcentral
CGCGCGCCUACUACCGGUGGACCCGCGCCCACGACCUGCGCGGCUUCCUCAACUUCACGCUGGCGCGAGCCCCGUCCUCCUUCGCCGCCGCGCACAACCGCACGUGCAGGUAUCGGGCUUUCCGGGAUGACGAUGGACAUUAUUCCCAGACCUACUGGAAUCUUCUUGCCAUCCGCCUGGCCUUCGUCAUUGUGUUUGAGGUAGCCGAGGCACCUGCUGGUUCUCCCAUCCAUGGCAUGAUGCCCCGACCCUGUGCUUUGCCUAAUUCGAGCACGUGGUGAGGGGUCGGUGCCGUCACUUCCUGCUGUGUCAUCUUGGUCAAAUCAGAGCUCUUCUCUGCACCUGCGUUUUCCCUGCCUGGCCUCAUCCCUGGGUUGUGGUGUGGACAUUGUGGGUGUCUCCACAGGAGCCCCAGGGCCACGAAAGCUGGGGUGGCCUCUGCCCUUUCUGGGGUUCCUUUUCCUGCACAGCUGCUUUCAGACACCACCCACAGCUGGGAGCAGGUGCCGGAGCCCCGGCCUGCCUGGCCCUGUGAAGGCCACUCUGGGCGUUUGGGUGGGCGUGAGUGCCUUCCUCUGCUCCCAGCAUGUGGUUUUCUCCGUUGGCCGCCUCCUGGACCUCCUGGUGCCUGACAUCCCAGAGUCUGUGGAGAUCAAAGUGAAGCGGGAGUACUACCUGGCUAAGCAGGCACUGGCUGAGAAUGAGGUUCUUUUUGGAACGAACGGAACAAAGGAUGAGCAGCCCCAGGGCUCAGAGCUCAGCUCCCACUGGACACCCUUCACGGUUCCCAAGGCCAGCCAGCUGCAGCAGUGACGCCUGGAAGGACAUCUGGUGGUCCUUAGGGGAGUGGCCCCUCCUGAGCCCUGCAAGCAGCGUCCUUUUCCUCUUCCCUCAGGCAGCGGUUGUGUGAACCGCUGGCUGCUGUUGUGCCUCAUCUCUGGGCACAUUGCCUGCUUCCCCCCAGCGCCGGCUUCCCUCCUCAGAGCGCCUGUCACUCCAUCCCCGGCAGGGAGGGACCGUCAGCUCACAAGGCCCUCUUUGUUUCCUGCUCCCAGACAUAAGCCCAAGGGGCCCCUGCACCCAAGGGACCCUGUCCCUCAGUGGCCUCCCCAGGCCCCUGGACACGACAGUUCUCCUCAGGCAGGUGGGCUUUGUGGUCCUUGCCGCCCCUGGCCACAUCACCCUCUCCUCUUACACCUGGUGACCUUCGAAUGUUGCAGAGCGCAGGGCCGUUCUCCCUCGUGUCCUCUGGACCCACCCGCCUCUUCCUGCCCUGUCCGCGCAGGGACAUCACCCACAUGCCCCAGCUCUCGGACCCUGCAGCUCUGUGUCCCAGGCCACAGCAAAGGUCUGUUCAGCCCCUCUCUCCAUUCCCAGUUAUCUGGGUCCUCUGGAUUCUUCUGUUUCUUGAAUCAGGCUCUGCUUUCCCCCUAGCCACUACAGGCAGCCUCUGACAGUGCCGCUUUACUUGCAUUCUGCAGCAAUUACAUGUGUCCUUUUGAUCCUUGCCCAACUUCCCUCCCUCUCCCAGCUCCUGGCCCCUGGCCCAGGGCCCCUCUUGCUGUUUUUACCUCUGUUCCUUGGGGCCUAGUACCCAGCAAGCACCCAAAUGGGGGAGGUUUUGGGAUGAGAGGAGGAAACGUGUAUACCUGUAACAUCUGGUGGCUCUUCCCCCAGAAGUUUGUGUUCAUACAUAAUUGUUUUCCACGCUGGAUCAUAAUGUGACGUGCAGUUCUGCCCAGUGCUGGGGAGCCACAUGAAGCUGCCCCUGGCUAACUUGCUACCCCGCAGCAAUCCCAGUGUGGCCGUCUGCUUGCUAAAAAAUGGAUCUGUGCUCAUCUGUAUUGAUGUCCUUGCAGUUCUACAAGUGGAACUUAAGUGUCAAAAAGAAUAUGUGGUUUUUAG